CGUUAUUUCUUCGGGCAGCUAACAGGGUGGCAUACUUACUUAAAACGUAUGUUUUUAACGUGUGUGAAUAAGUUUUACUUGAUGUGCUGCGUGCAACAAUCAGAUCAUCCACCGUGUAUUACAUCAACUCAUGUACGAUGUACCUGGAAUGUUUGACCUAGUAGACAAAACCACAUACGAUUCGAACGAUACGAUAAGUAUAGUAAACGAACGUGACGGGGAGAUCUAUGGAUAAUUUCUUCAUCGGUGCGCGUUUGAAAUUUUGGGAAUGACCUAAUGUCUGGUACUUUCAACAGCACCACUUGGUGAUCCUCAACAUCAUCAUAGCGGAUGGACGGGCAGAUCAUAUGAUUUACCAUUGGAUGCCGAAGAUCGCGUAAUACAACUGUAAGCAACCAAAAAAUCGGUAA
Anopheles coustani is the source of this 410-nucleotide long non-coding RNA. RefSeq lists it as uncharacterized. The transcript is spliced from 4 exons. Lineage: Eukaryota; Metazoa; Arthropoda; Insecta; Diptera; Culicidae. The record is from RefSeq and is a predicted model, not a curated record.